RNAcentral lists this ribosomal RNA (74 nucleotides) under Parachlamydiaceae bacterium. RNAcentral describes it as "partial 23S ribosomal RNA". Lineage: Bacteria; Pseudomonadati; Chlamydiota; Chlamydiia; Parachlamydiales; Parachlamydiaceae. The record is from RNAcentral.
UUUUUUGGUCAAGCUAGUAAGGGCUGCUGGUGGAUGCCUUGGCAUCAACAGGCGAUGAAGGACGCGACAACCUG